RNAcentral lists this unclassified non-coding RNA (251 nucleotides) under plant metagenome. Its description in RNAcentral is "partial contains small subunit ribosomal RNA, internal transcribed spacer 1, and 5.8S ribosomal RNA". The stretch from base 1 to 54 matches the Rfam family "Eukaryotic small subunit ribosomal RNA", at positions 1778 to 1831 of the family's 1831-position model. The record is from RNAcentral.
GGAAAUAAAAGUCGUAACAAGGUCUCCGUAGGUGAACCUGCGGAGGGAUCAUUACAGAGUUCAUGCCCUACCGGGUAGAUCUCCCACCCUAUGUUAUUAUUACUUUGUUGCUUUGGCGGGCCGUUAGGCUCCGGCCCGACUACCGGCCCCGGCUGGUAAGCGCCCGCCAGAGGACCCAAAACCCUGAAUAUUAGUGUCGUCUGAGUACUAUAUAAUAGUUAAAACUUUCAACAACGGAUCUCUUGGUUCUG